CGGGAGUGCGCAUGCGCGUUGGGCGAGGCUGAGGGAGGAGGGAGAGAUUCGUGGGAGGACGGAACCCGGGGAUGGGACUGGAGGAGUUUCCGUGACCUUGCGGGCUGUUUGUGCUGAGGGGCAGCUUUAUUUAAAUAAUAAUAUGCGUGCAGGCGCCCUGCAUGAUUCCUGGCCGCGUGCUUUCUAGUUAACUAGGUCACUGUUUGCUCUCAGUAGCAACCCUGCCUCCCGCAGUUCGCUUGGUCCUUGAUUACAGGUUCGUGCUGUGCAUUCAUUCAUUCAGUGAGAGCCGAAUAAGUACUAGUGGCCAAGGAGACAGCAGUGAGCUCAACAGCUGAAUGGCCUCAGACCUUACCGAGUUUCUCAAUACCAGGGUUAUUGACAUUGGGGGCAGACAUUGCUUUGUUCUCGGGGGCUGCCCUGUGCGUUGUAGGAUGUUGAGGAUCUUCCCUCACCUCACCCACGGGAUGCCAGGAAAAAUCCUCUCCGGCCCCCAACUCCUGGUUGUGACAACCAAAAAUGUCUCCAGACAUUGCCAAAUGUCCCCUGGGGGCUGAAGUCAGCCUACUGAGAACUGCCGCCUUAGAAGUUUUCCAACACUCUUCUAUACCUUCCCAUAACUUGGUCACCCAGGAAACUCUCACCAGGUGAUUGAACUCUGAUAUGAAUGGACAUGAUCUGACACAUUAACUUCAUUUUACAUAAAAUUUAAGAGCACUCCCCUCAUCAAAGGGAAGGGAUGAUUAAAUGUACAAAGGCCAUUAAUGGUAUCCAGAAGUUACAAAAAACUAACAUCAAGCACCUGGGCAUAUAAUCAUCUGGUUAGCAUAUGAAACCUUCUAAUGAUAAAUGGGUUUAUAAAGUUAGUUUAAAAAUUAGUUACUACUGGGUUCCCCCAAAAUAAAAUAUAUCAUUUUUGUGUAAGUUGUCUAUGGAGGGAUUGGCAUUCUCUUCUGAUGUGGUUUGCCUGUGUCCCCACCCAAAUCUCAUCUUGAGUUCCCACAUGUGGGAGGGACCCCGUGGGAGGUAAUUGAAUCAUGGGGGCAGGUCUUUCCCAUGCUGUUCUUGUGAUAGUGAAUAAGUCUCACGAGAUCUGAUGGUUUUUUAUAAA
Cercocebus atys (sooty mangabey) is the source of this 1111-nucleotide long non-coding RNA. RefSeq lists it as uncharacterized. The record is from RefSeq and is a predicted model, not a curated record. The transcript has 2 exons. NCBI's taxonomy places the organism in Eukaryota, Metazoa, Chordata, Mammalia, Primates, Cercopithecidae.